Molecule: ribosomal RNA, 440 nt
Filed under: uncultured bacterium
Lineage: Bacteria
Description: partial 16S ribosomal RNA
Rfam family: Bacterial small subunit ribosomal RNA
Source: RNAcentral
ACUACGGGAGGCAGCAGUGGGGAAUAUUGCACAAUGGGGGAAACCCUGAUGCAGCGACGCCGCGUGAGUGAAGAAGUAUCUCGGUACGUAAAGCUCUAUCAGCAGGGAAGAAAAUGACGGUACCUGACUAAGAAGCCCCGGCUAACUACGUGCCAGCAGCCGCGGUAAUACGGAGGGGGCAAGCGUUAUCCGGAUUUACUGGGUGUAAAGGGAGCGUAGAAGGCAGCGCAAGUCUGGAGUGAAAUGCCGGGGCCCAACCCCGGAACUGCUUUGGAAAAUGUGCAGCUCGAGUGCAGGAGAGGUAAGCGGAAUUCCUAGUGUAGCGGUGAAAUGCGUAGAUAUUAGGAGGAACUCCGAUUGCGAAGGCAGCCUACUAAACUGCCACUGACAUUGAUGCUCGAAAGUGUGGGUAUCAAACAGGAUUAGAUACCCUUGUAGUC